RNAcentral lists this ribosomal RNA (484 nucleotides) under uncultured bacterium. RNAcentral describes it as "partial 16S ribosomal RNA". It matches the Rfam family "Bacterial small subunit ribosomal RNA", at positions 30 to 507 of the family's 1533-position model. The record is from RNAcentral.
AUUGAACGCUGGCGGCAGGCCUAACACAUGCAAGUCGAGCGGAUGAAGGGAGCUUGCUCCUGGAUUCAGCGGCGGACGGGUGAGUAAUGCCUAGGAAUCUGCCUGGUAGUGGGGGAUAACGUCCGGAAACGGGCGCUAAUACCGCAUACGUCCUGAGGGAGAAAGUGGGGGAUCUUCGGACCUCACGCUAUCAGAUGAGCCUAGGUCGGAUUAGCUAGUUGGUGGGGUAAAGGCCUACCAAGGCGACGAUCCGUAACUGGUCUGAGAGGAUGAUCAGUCACACUGGAACUGAGACACGGUCCAGACUCCUACGGGAGGCAGCAGUGGGGAAUAUUGGACAAUGGGCGAAAGCCUGAUCCAGCCAUGCCGCGUGUGUGAAGAAGGUCUUCGGAUUGUAAAGCACUUUAAGUUGGGAGGAAGGGCAGUAAGUUAAUACCGUGCUGUUUUGACGUUACCAACAGAAUAAGCACCGGCUAACUUCGUG